Non-coding RNA from Chloroflexi bacterium RBG_16_50_11, 93 nucleotides. The record is from Rfam. NCBI's taxonomy places the organism in Bacteria, Bacillati, Chloroflexota.
UGAACCUUUAAUCCAGUCCCGUGAGGCUGGCAAGGGGAGAUAAUCAGGUACACUCUUAGCCUCUUGCCACCUCAAAGCAAGAGGUUUUUUUAU